CAAUCAUCGUCCACUUGCGACUGGCCACCAGCGAUGCCAAGCCUCAUCCUCCACAAUGCGCCGUCCAUCAGACAUCCUCUCCCGCUGGCCGUCUCUCCCCUCGGCGCGACGUCUCCUUCGCACGUCCGCUUCGCCAAACCGCUUGGCGAACCUCGUCCGCUCGCCUUCCCGGCCGCCGCGGGCGCGAGGGCGGCUGCGGCGGUGAAGUGCAUGGCGAACCCGAGGAGGGUGAAGAUGGUGGCGAAGCAGAUAAGGAGGGAGCUCUCCGACAUGUUGCUCACGGACAAGGUGUUGCAGUACGCGAUUCUGCCCGAGGCCGCGCUGGGAGCUGAUCGCUACCUGUCGUCGCUCACUACCAUCAGCGACGUCGAGGUCUCUUCCGAUUUGCAGGUGGUUAAAGUGUAUGUAUCAGUCUUUGGUGACGAAAGAGGAAGAGAGAUUGCAAUUGCUGGGUUGAAAUCAAAAGCUAAAUAUGUUCGUAGUGAGCUGGGAAGACGUAUGAAGUUACGUCUCACUCCUGAAAUACGUUUCAUAGAAGAUGAAUCUCUAGAAAGGGGAAGCAGGGUUAUCGCUAUACUAGAUAAAUUAAAGGCGGAGAAAAAGACAGCAAAAGGUCAGGAUGAAGAGCGAGUUGAGGCAUCGGAUGAUCCUCAAGAUGAUGGAGAUUGGGAAGGCAACGACCCCGAUGGAGACAUUAUUUAUGUGGAGUAGGUCUAACUCUGCAUAUCAGCGGCACUAUGUUGAUGGACUGGGCAUACUGCGGCUUCACUGGUUUAAGGCGGUAACAGUAACAGCUCCUUGUGCAGGAAAGGAGGUUUUAUAACAUCAUCUGGACUUGAAAUAUAUCCUGCUGAUCUUCCGUGCAGCCCUCACAGUUUUGUCCUAGCAUUCGCUGACCACACGCCAUGGCAAGCUAUAUUAAGCUUGUACUUUAUGUGUCUGAGCAUGUUGCCCUAACCUCUGAGGAGCGGAUAGCAACCUUAAAGAAGGCAAGAACCUGAUUUGAAUCCCACCCGUUGAGAAUGGCCUGUACUGAAAAUUCAAUUCAUGUAUAACCAAUCGUUUUAUGUGGUGAGGAGAAACCAAAUUAUAUUGAAGCAUUGGGAUAUACGCCUUUUGUUUU
Molecule: RNA transcript, 1123 nt
Organism: Rhodamnia argentea
Lineage: Eukaryota; Viridiplantae; Streptophyta; Magnoliopsida; Myrtales; Myrtaceae
Gene name: probable ribosome-binding factor A, chloroplastic
Exons: 4
Source: RefSeq, a predicted model, not a curated record